RNAcentral lists this ribosomal RNA (425 nucleotides) under uncultured bacterium. RNAcentral describes it as "partial 16S ribosomal RNA". It matches the Rfam family "Bacterial small subunit ribosomal RNA", at positions 354 to 796 of the family's 1533-position model. The record is from RNAcentral.
GUGGGGAAUCUUGCGCAAUGGGCGAAAGCCUGACGCAGCCAUGCCGCGUGAAUGAUGAAGGUCUUAGGAUUGUAAAAUUCUUUCACCGGGGACGAUAAUGACGGUACCCGGAGAAGAAGCCCCGGCUAACUUCGUGCCAGCAGCCGCGGUAAUACGAAGGGGGCUAGCGUUGCUCGGAAUUACUGGGCGUAAAGGGCGCGUAGGCGGACAGUUUAGUCAGAGGUGAAAGCCCAGGGCUCGACCUUGGAAUUGCCUUUGAUACUGGCUGUCUUGAGUACGGGAGAGGUGAGUGGAACUCCGAGUGUAGAGGUGAAAUUCGUAGAUAUUCGGAAGAACACCAGUGGCGAAGGCGACUCACUGGCCCGUUACUGACGCUGAGGCGCGAAAGCGUGGGGAGCAAACAGGAUUAGAUACCCCGGUAGUCC